CCCCGUGAACCUUUACUGUAGCUUUGCAUUGGACUUUGAACAGACUUGUGUAGGAUAGGUGGGAGGCUUUGAAGCUGAGACGCUAGUUUCAGUGGAGCCGUCCUUGAAAUACCACCCUGGUGUGUUUGAGGUUCUAACCUUGGUCCGGGAUCCGGAUUGGGGACAGUGCAUGGUAGGCAGUUUGACUGGGGCGGUCUCCUCCCAAAGUGUAACGGAGGAGUUCGAAGGUUACCUAGGUACGGUCGGAAAUCGUGCUGAUAGUGCAAUGGCAAAAGGUAGCUUCACUGCGAGACCGACAAGUCGAGCAGGUGCGAAAGCAGGACAUAGUGAUCCGGUGGUUCUGAAUGGAAGGGCCAUCGCUCAA
RNAcentral lists this ribosomal RNA (364 nucleotides) under Bacillus sp. AFS015802. RNAcentral's name for it is "bacterial LSU rRNA". It matches the Rfam family "Bacterial large subunit ribosomal RNA", at positions 2089 to 2452 of the family's 2925-position model. Lineage: Bacteria; Bacillati; Bacillota; Bacilli; Caryophanales; Bacillaceae. The record is from RNAcentral.